AAAUAAGAAACAAAUUUUUUGUAUUUAGUUUCGACCUAAAAUUUUGAUGAAAAAAUCAUCCUUAUUUA
RNAcentral lists this transfer RNA (68 nucleotides) under Onthophagus minutus. Its description in RNAcentral is "tRNA-Arg". The record is from RNAcentral. Lineage: Eukaryota; Metazoa; Arthropoda; Insecta; Coleoptera; Scarabaeidae.